RNAcentral lists this ribosomal RNA (253 nucleotides) under uncultured bacterium. RNAcentral's name for it is "partial 16S ribosomal RNA". It matches the Rfam family "Bacterial small subunit ribosomal RNA", at positions 524 to 776 of the family's 1533-position model. The record is from RNAcentral.
UACGUAGGAUCCAAGCGUUGUCCGGAUUCACUGGGCGUAAAGGGUGCGCAGGCGGCCGUGUGUGUGAGGCGUGAAAGCCCGGGGCUUAACCCCGGAAUUGCACCUCAAACUACACGGCUAGAGCAUUGGAGAGGGUAGCGGAAUUCACGGUGUAGCAGUGAAAUGCGUAGAUAUCGUGAGGAACACCAGAGGCGAAGGCGGCUACCUGGACAAUUGCUGACGCUCAGGCACGAAAGCUAGGGGAGCAAACAGG